Long non-coding RNA from Pan troglodytes (chimpanzee), 1173 nucleotides. RefSeq lists it as uncharacterized. Lineage: Eukaryota; Metazoa; Chordata; Mammalia; Primates; Hominidae. The record is from RefSeq and is a predicted model, not a curated record. The transcript has 2 exons.
GAAAACAAUUCACGAGUGUCUUUUAAGAAAAAGUUGCCCUUAAGACACACCACAAAGAAAAAAGGUGUAAAAUGAUGCCUAGGACUGCAGUGUGGUGCAGAGGAGAGCAAGCACUGGGCCUGCAUCCACAAGACCUGCCAGUAGCCCUGGACCUGCUGUCGAGGGGCUGUAUCCACUCAGGCCCAUUGCAGGGGCCCCAUGUCCUCAUUGGUAAGAUGAGGCCAAGGAAUUAGAUGCUCCUUCUUGGUUCCAGCUCUUGGGAAAUUUGUGAACUCCACACCGGUUCAGCCCUUCCUCUUGUCUUCUUGAGCCUGAUGGGCAGGAGCAGGAAGCUGCACCCUGUAGUUGCGACCCCACUCCAUGUGGCUGGGCAGGUUAAAGGGGAGCCAUGGGACCAGAGGCUUAGUGGUCCAUUUGGGCUCUGUGGUGGGAUUGACCUUGACUCACGGGGGGUGGUUGUUUGAACUCUGAAUCCAGACUCUUCGCCUUCAGACAGAACAAGAUCCAAACAAUUCUAAAAGAAUGUUCACUACAUUUUUCUUUGCCUCAGAUACUUUGCUUACUACUAAAUGUAACUCUUUUCUGAGAAUCUCAAAUUUCUAUUUCUUUCUUUGUUGGCCGAACUCACUCACUUCCUGUAUGGCAUUUGAUUUAAACACAGCCUUUCUUCAGUCUCUUGGGGUGGAUAAUUUCAGCCUGAUAAAAUGAUCUUUUGAGUUUUGUAAAAUUGUUUCUGAGCAAUUCCAAGUAGGAUUUACUUGGUGACUUUCCUCAGUAGUGAUCAAAGAUCGUGUGCUUUGGACAUAUGACUGCACCGAGAAGGAACAUUUCCUUUGCCUUCCUGGCAGCCGUAAAAACGUGGGGUGGUUUUCUCCUAUUUGUAGACAGCCCUCUUCCAAAUGAUCCUAAAGAAGUUGUCAUUGGAUGCGUUAAAAUUGCCAAGAGGAUUUUAACAUGGACUUACAGCUGUGCAUCGCUCAAUGAUGGGGUGUGUUCUGAGAAAUGCUCUUUUAGAUGAUUCUGCCCUUGUGCAAACGUCAGAGAGUGACAUGCACAAACCUCGAUGGCACAGCCUACUGCACACCUCGGCUAUGUGGUGUAGCCUAUUGCCUAGACUGCAAACCUGUACAGUAAAUGACCGUACUGAAUAACAUCGGCAACUGUAACGCAGUG